Molecule: RNase P RNA, 283 nt
Filed under: Mycoplasma sp. 1654_15
Lineage: Bacteria; Bacillati; Mycoplasmatota; Mollicutes; Mycoplasmatales; Mycoplasmataceae
Description: Bacterial RNase P class B
Rfam family: Bacterial RNase P class B
About the family: Ribonuclease P (RNase P) is a ubiquitous endoribonuclease, found in archaea, bacteria and eukarya as well as chloroplasts and mitochondria. Its best characterised activity is the generation of mature 5'-ends of tRNAs by cleaving the 5'-leader elements of precursor-tRNAs.
Source: Rfam by way of RNAcentral
UACAUCGGUCAAUUGCUGCUUUGUAAAAAGUAGAGGAAAGUCCGCGCUAGCACUAUCUGAGAUGAUAGUAGUGUUCAUGUUGGAUCUAAUAAAUCCAAGCCUAGACGACAAGUGCCACAGAGACGAAUUUAUUAAAUUAAAGUGAAACGCGGUAAACUCCAUGAGCUAGAAACCCAAAUUAAGGUAGGGGAAUUUGUUUUUUAGAAAUCAAUAAAAAACAAAAAGUUUUUUAACUUAGAUAAAUAAUUGACACUAGAAAUAGUACAGAACGCGGCUUAUAGAU